This 2249-nucleotide unclassified non-coding RNA is filed under the name Hevea brasiliensis (rubber tree). The record is from RNAcentral. Lineage: Eukaryota; Viridiplantae; Streptophyta; Magnoliopsida; Malpighiales; Euphorbiaceae.
AAUUAAUUCCCAUAAAGAAUAGUUCAAAGCUACUCUUUUCUUUCAAUAUUGGCCAUAGUACUGAAUCAUCCUAGUAGACCAAAAUUCCCGGAGAAGAAAGAAGCUUGUUUAUGCGAAUAACUUUGCAAUGUCAGAUUCUACUCCUAGCUAAACAUUUCGGUGCAUCUUCAGCCCUAGCUGUAAGUACAAAAGAUCUUAAAAUGCGCUUGCAACAUUUUAAAGCAAGACUAUUUUUUGUUAUGCAAACAGGGAUAUUUACAUAUUCAGUGAACAAAAAUAUUAGCAGAGAAAAAUGAAUGUAAACCACAAAUGACAACAGAAUCUUGAAGUUAAUCACAAGCAUUGCCUUGGUUAAAAGUUAAAAUGGCUUUUUUUUUUUUUUUUAAAGUCUGAGAACCUAAUAUAUGCCUAGACAACAAUUCAGAAAAGAACAUCAAAAUUCGCAAACCAAGCAUCAAAAUAUUCAGUGUCAUGUUGAACCGAACAUUGUCUUUAUCCUUGUGUAUUCUAAGAAAAAGGAUCAUGAUUGAUCAAAUGACUCUUAGAAGUAACAAAGAAUCACUUGCACCUAUUCAAUCUAUGAAUUAACAAUAUAAAGAUUUAAGUGGAAAAGCAUCAAGCCAUCAACACAAAGCAUUCAACCUUAUUAGGAAUUUGACUUGACAAAUCUUAAUUGACUGGAGAAUAGGAUUUCCAGAACAAGGAAGCAAGCAGUGCCUCCAAUCAGAAAUCAUGUAUUAAAUUAAGUUUUGAAACAAACAAGAAGCUUGCUACUCUGCCCCCCAACGAUGUAGGGAAGCCUGCCAAAAAUAGCAAGUUAUCAACAUAUUAGAUGCUUCUCAAACAAAAAAAGCAAAAUCAUCCAAAGCUCCAAACCAUCUUACAACAACAACAACAAAUAAGCCUUGAUUCCAAAUUAGUUGGGGUUGGCAACAUGGUUCCUUUUUCACCAAGCUAAAAUGAAAACAAUUAAAUUGUCUAUCACCUGUCUUUGUGUCAAUGUUUUACAUCUUAAAAUUACCACUGAAAGUAAAACGGACUAAACCAUGCCCCUGCAUCAUAACCCAAAGAGCAAUAGUGCAAUACUAAAUGAUUACAUGAGAAUUUUGAUAUCAAUUUGUCACUUUUCUUCCUUCUAUUUGGAUUACCUCCUCUGCAUUUUUACAGAACUUGCUGAUAAUACCUCAAAUUGAGACCUCAGCAAUGUGGGAGUAGCACUUCAAACGUUCCAGAAAAACCUCAAAUAUCUGAUGAUCCAUAAUAGUAUUUACCUCUUCACCGGAGGAUCGGCAACUCUAUAAGAAUCAGCUGUAGUUCCCACCAACCACAACCCAGGAAAAACAUUAUCAAGCAAUUUCUGCACGUUCUUGGGUCGUUUCCUGGGCCUCCUGGCAGGUCUCGACCCAGUCAAAGCGAAAAUAUCCUCUUCAAUCUCUUCUCUCGACAGAGCUAUCCAAAACUUCCUCUUCUCCUUCUUUUCCAAGCAAACCCCCCCGCCUCCUCCUGUAGACUCUACCAAUCCCCUCAAUCUCAUCGAUUUCGGCUGAAGCUGCGGCGUAUUCUCCCUCUCCCUCUGCUCAUUUACAUGCAUCAUCACCGCUUCUUUCAAUUCCCCUCCAUUCUUAGCUGCCAAAAUCCCUUUUCUUGGCCUCAAUUUCCACGGCCUCGAAUUGCCUUCUUCCUCUUCUUGCUUUUGUUUCUCCUCCUCCUCCUCUUCCUCUUCUUCAGCGUCAGCUCCGUUGUUGUUUUCCAAAACGGUGAAUUGCGUCUGCGGCUUUUCAGCGACUUCCGCUCCCAAAACCGUUAUUUGUUUCUGCGGAUUUUCCGUGGAUGAAUUUUUUGGUUUUGGCAAGAGAGAGGAGCAAGACGUAAAGGAGAAGCGAUGGACACGAGCAGAGCGGGAUCCGACCCGGGGAGGAUGCCGGAUUGUUGUUUGUUCCGGGUCAGAUUCAGUCUCAGGGUCAGGUGCAAGUGCGGACGUGGGACGGCUGCUAUUAGUACUUCGAUGGUGGUGGUGGUUACUGGGGGCAGAGAGUGCGGUGGUCUGGCCCCAUUUGAGGGAGAGCGGGAAGUUAUGCAGCGGCUGUGGCUUCACUGGUGCUGCUGCCAUGAAAGCCAGCACUUACAUAUACAAAGAUAUCUAUAUAUGGAAGUGCGUGCCUGUGCCUUUGCUUUUACGUGGAACUUAAAGAUGGUAACGAGAGCCCAAAUAAAAAAAAAAACCCUAGAGACAGAGAGAGAGAGAGAGA